CCUACGGGAGGCUGCAGUAGGGAAUCUUCCGCAAUGGACGAAAGUCUGACGGAGCAACGCCGCGUGAGUGAUGAAGGUUUUCGGAUUGUAAAACUCUGUUGUUAGGGAAGAACAAGUACAAGAGUAACUGCUUGUACCUUGACGGUACCUAACCAGAAAGCCCCGGCUAACUACGUGCCAGCAGCCGCGGUAAUACGUAGGGGGCGAGCGUUGUCCGGAAUUAUUGGGCGUAAAGCGCGCGCAGGCGGUCCUUUAAGUCUGAUGUGAAAGCCCACGGCUUAACCGUGGAGGGUCAUUGGAAACUGGAGGACUUGAGUACAGAAGAGGAGAGUGGAAUUCCACGUGUAGCGGUGAAAUGCGUAGAGAUGUGGAGGAACACCAGUGGCGAAGGCGACUCUCUGGUCUGUAACUGACGCUGAGGCGCGAAAGCGUGGGGAGCG
RNAcentral lists this ribosomal RNA (440 nucleotides) under uncultured bacterium. Its description in RNAcentral is "bacterial SSU rRNA". It matches the Rfam family "Bacterial small subunit ribosomal RNA", at positions 338 to 770 of the family's 1533-position model. The record is from RNAcentral.